AGCGGGGGACCGUAAGGCCUCGCGCGAUUGGAGCGGCCGAUAUCGGAUUAGCUUGUUGGUGAGGUAAAGGCUCACCAAGGCGACGAUCCGUAGCUGGUCUGAGAGGACGACCAGCCACACUGGAACUGAGACACGGUCCAGACUCCUACGGGAGGCAGCAGUGGGGAAUUUUGGACAAUGGGGGCAACCCUGAUCCAGCCAUUCCGCGUGAGUGAAGAAGGCCUUCGGGUUGUAAAGCUCUUUCAGCAGGAACGAAACGGUGGCUAUUAAUACUAGCUACUAAUGACGGUACCUGAAGAAGAAGCACCGGCUAACUACGUGCCAGCAGCCGCGGUAAUACGUAGGGUGCGAGCGUUAAUCGGAAUUACUGGGCGUAAAGCGUGCGCAGGCGGUUCUAUAAGACAGAUGUGAAAUCCCCGGGCUUAACCUGGGAACUGCGUUUGUGACUGUAGGACUCGAGUGUGGCAGAGGGGGGUGGAAUUCCACGUGUAGCAGUGAAAUGCGUAGAGAUGUGGAGGAACACCGAUGGCGAAGGCAGCCCCCUGGGUCAACACUGACGCUCAUGCACGAAAGCGUGGGGAGCAAACAGGAUUAGAUACCCUGGUAGUCCACGCCCUAAACGAUGCGAACUAGGUGUUGGGGAAGGAGACUUUCUUAGUACCGCAGCUAACGCGUGAA
This 678-nucleotide ribosomal RNA is filed under the name uncultured beta proteobacterium. RNAcentral's name for it is "bacterial SSU rRNA". It matches the Rfam family "Bacterial small subunit ribosomal RNA", at positions 190 to 863 of the family's 1533-position model. The record is from RNAcentral. Lineage: Bacteria; Pseudomonadati; Pseudomonadota; Betaproteobacteria.